This 3313-nucleotide long non-coding RNA is filed under the name Homo sapiens (human). Its description in RNAcentral is "HSALNT0376965". Lineage: Eukaryota; Metazoa; Chordata; Mammalia; Primates; Hominidae. The record is from RNAcentral.
CCUUGUGAUUUGCCUGCCUCAGCCUCCCAAAGUGCUGGGAUAACAGGCGUGAGCCACCACGCCCAGCUUCAAAAGUUUUCAACAGAGCUCAGAGGUCUUAACCACAGGCACAUCCGAGGAGCAUUUUUGAAAUGGUUUCCAGCUUCCUCAAUAGGAAUGGAAGCCAAACCCGGAACUGAUGGCUCCUUGGAGGAAGUCGAGAGCUGUAAGGAAAGCCAGGAACAGGGGCAAGGGAGAGAUGCAUCCCGAAUGAUCCUGUGCCAAUUCUUUCUGGAAUCUUUGAUGUGAUCUCCGCUGCCCUUUCCAUACUUGACACAGUGAUUGUGGCACCCACUGGUCUAGCUGUGGUCUACAAGGAACCCCCAAAGGGAAGGGCACAGUGAGCAGGGGCAUCGGCCUGAGUGACAAGGAUUGGAGGGGGCAGGUUGGAUGCAGGGAGAGGACUGGCCAAAUGCCAUGUGUCUGGCUUAGACUACCUUGUUCAAAUUGGGCUUCACCAUUUUUGACUUCGUGAUCUGGUACAAGUUAUAUGAAAAUGUGUUGCUCCUUUUCUAGUCUGUAAAAUCAUAAGGAAAUGUGCACUAAUAACUGGGAGACUAUGCAGAUGAAAUGAAACAAGCUGCAUAGAACACAGAGCUCAGAGCCUGGCCUUUAGGAAGCCCUCAGUAAGGGUUCAUGAUGCCAUGGUGUCUGUCAUCAUCCUCUUUAUCCUCAUCAUCACCUUCAUCAUCUUUUUGUUGUUCUGAGGGCAUACUUUAGAGGGACUCAUUCCCUGCUCUCAUGGGUGAGAUGUCUAUGAAGAGGACAACCAGUGGGGGAGGGAAGCAAAAUUUUGAAGAAGAUUCCUGAGAGAGAUCCCCCACCACAACCAAGAACAGAAACUCCACAGUCUGCUGAGCUGACAGUUUGCACAUUGGUCUCCUCCCAUCUGCCCACGGCACUCUCCCGUUUGUCCUGAAGAUGAGGAAACAAACAAGGCUCCCGACCGUCCCUCAGCACUCACUGAACGGCCCUUCCCCUCUGCUGGGCCAUGACCACGGAGAACAGGUCCACUGUCCUCCCUGAGUGGUGCACAUGGGAGGCUCAGACUCCGUCCUCAAGGCUGGUAAGAAGACAGGGUGAGACAUGAGCCUCCUGAUACAGGUGACGGGUGUGGAGCCCACAGGACUGCAACCUCACACUGCAGGGCUGGAGGCACAGACUGAGUAUUUCCUAUUCUAUGGCCUGGGGGGCUCAAGGCACAGAGCUCCUCAUUAGCCAGAGUCGCCCAUGUUCCCCAUGCUCUAAGGAUUUCCUCAUCAUCAUGCAAGAAGAAGAAUAGAAAAAAGGAAGAGGAAGAAACAAAAGGAACUUCUCUCUUAGAUUUAAUUCUGACCUACCAGGAAGAACUGGAUUGUUGAAGCAGAAGUACUGGAGUCUCUGGAGCUAAAACCAAGGAUAAGAACAUUAAGAUUAUCCUGCUGGAGAGAGAGGCCAUGCGGAAGAACCCUGGAAAAUGAGACAGCUCACAGAGCAAGAGGCCAUGUGGAGAAGGCCUAGAAGUAAAAUGCCUCAUGGAACAAGAGGCCACAUGCAGAAGGCCUGGAGGAUGAGACGCCCUGUGAAGUGAGAGGCCACGUGGAGAAGGCCUAGAGGAGGAGACACCUUAUGGAGCAAGAGGCCGAAUGGAGAAGCCCCAGAGGGUUAGACACCUUGUGGAGCAAGAGGUCACACGCAGAAGUCCUGGGAGUGAGAUGCCUCACGAAGCGAGAUGCCUCGUGAAGCGAGAUGCCUCGUGGAGUGAGAGGCCAUGUGGAAGAACCCUGGAACUCAGCGGCUGAUAACACAAAGAUCCCAUGGUGUGAGAGAGGCCUUCAUGAACUUCCCGUCCAGCCCAGCUAGAGCCAAAUGGAGCCAUAUGUGUGACCGCAAGUGACAUCUACAAAAGAACGACCCAGUCACCCUGAGAAUUGUUAGAAAUGCAAAGCACUAAGUUUUGGGGUAGUUUGUUACACAGCAAUAGCUAACUGAUACAGAUGGUUUGAAUUACUUGACUUUAAAGUUCCUUCUUACCCUGAAAGUUUAUGGCUUAGUAAAGUGAAUUAAGCACAUUUGACUGAAACAGAGAGAUGGUGUAGGAAAAGAUCAGAAGGUAAGGGCAGGGCAAGGUGAGGAAGGCUUUCCGUGCCACGAUAAGGAAUUUGAGCUUUAACUGGUAGGUUCUGAAGCUGUCCCAGGAGGAAGUGACAUGAGAAGAUAGUUUUUUAGGAAGACCCACACUGCAGCAGCAUGUAGAUCAGACACGUGGGCACACAGAGCAGAUGUGAGAGAGAAGGAGGCAUGGAGACCUGAUUGCUGAGGCAAAAAGAUGCAGCUGACAAUUAUGGAGCAACAAGCUACUGAAUACAGAAUUGAACAUUCAGUCUUCAAGACACAGAUGUAAGCUGCUUUCUCUGUAUCAGCCUUCUCUGUAUCAACUCUUCAUUUUUUCCAACUAUGAUGUUUUUACUUUCAAAAAUCCAUGGGAGAAUACAUGGUAUGUCGUUAAAAGCCUGGGAUUUGAAAUAAGAAAGCCUUAGCUUUAAACCCCUUCUCUCACCUUCUAGCUGUGUAACUCUGGGCAAGUUACUGAACCUUGCUGUAUCGCAGCUUCUUCAUUUGUAAAAUGGAUAUAAUGAUAUUUGUCUCACAGGAGUAAUGCAAAGAUAAAAACGGAUUAUGUCUCAUGCAUUUACUUUUACUAAAUGGCUAAAUGCUCAAGCAACACAAAUACAUGAUUAUUUCUCUUUCACGUAACAGUCCAGGUUGGGAGUGUCAGGUUGAGGGGUGGAUCUUUUUCACAUCUUCUUGAAAGAAUUCGUGGUAAAAGCUGUCUUCAGUUUAUGCCUUCCAAGGUUCUUUUGGCCAUCGCCAUUCCAGAAAGAAGAGGAGAAGAGAGCAUGAAGGAGCCCGCCUAACAUGUUUUAUCUGGCUUCUCAGAAAUGGCACAUGCUUCUACUUGCAUUCCAUUGGCAAGAACACACGGCACACCAGCUGCCCACGGGGAUAGGGAAUCCCAGCUAGAAUUCCAUCCAAUAGAAGACAGAGGGGAGAGAAGAGCAGGGUAUUGGUAUCCACGCAAUUCAUCCAUUUAUUCCUCAAGCAUGUGUUAAGCGUUUGGCGAUGCUUCACGAUGUUGGACUCUGGACAUUCACAGAAGAUGAACACAUCUCACAAAAGAUCUGGAUUUUGUCUGGAAACUCAAGUAUAAGACCUAGCACCACUUGCCAAGGACCUCUGCUUUGCUUUGGUAGGCCAAGGGUCUGGCUCUGUUACCCAGGCUGGAUUGCAGUGG